RNAcentral lists this ribosomal RNA (253 nucleotides) under uncultured bacterium. Its description in RNAcentral is "partial 16S ribosomal RNA". It matches the Rfam family "Bacterial small subunit ribosomal RNA", at positions 524 to 776 of the family's 1533-position model. The record is from RNAcentral.
UACGGGGGGGGCAAGCGUUGUUCGGAAUUACUGGGCGUAAAGGGCUCGUAGGCGGUCUGUCACGUCGAAAGUGAAAACUCAGGGCUCAACCCUGAGCCUGCUUCCGAUACGGGCAGACUAGAGGUAUGCAGGGGAGAAUGGAAUUCCUGGUGUAGCGGUGAAAUGCGCAGAUAUCAGGAGGAACACCAGUGGCGAAGGCGGUUCUCUGGGCAUUACCUGACGCUGAGGAGCGAAAGUGUGGGGAGCGAACAGG